UUUAUUCAAACUUGUAAGUCUCUUUGGAUAAAAGUGUCUGCUAAAUGGAAAAAC
Non-coding RNA from Danio rerio (zebrafish), 54 nucleotides. The record is from Rfam. Lineage: Eukaryota; Metazoa; Chordata; Actinopteri; Cypriniformes; Danionidae.